GAUAAUGGCCGGGUGGAAGCGCAGCGAAGAAACUCUGUGUGGAUAUCAGCAGACCUGUCCCCCUGGAUAUUAAGAACUACAGGUUUUAUUCAGAGCUGGGAAAAGGAGGCUUUGGCCGGGUGAUGUUGGCUUCGUUUACA
Molecule: long non-coding RNA, 140 nt
Organism: Xenopus laevis (African clawed frog)
Lineage: Eukaryota; Metazoa; Chordata; Amphibia; Anura; Pipidae
Exons: 3
Source: RefSeq, a predicted model, not a curated record